Pelobates cultripes (western spadefoot toad) is the source of this 404-nucleotide non-coding RNA. Lineage: Eukaryota; Metazoa; Chordata; Amphibia; Anura; Pelobatidae. The record is from the annotation of a GenBank genome assembly.
CGGAGAACGAAGCUGGGUUGUAACCCAGUAUUCCCAAUAAGAUUCUAACAUGCGUGGUGAAUUUUGCUGUAGUGAGUGGGUGCCCUUGUAGUUGUAAGAGCGGUGAGUCUGGUAAGUGCGCGUUAUGAGUUGACCUUAGGUGGUCUAGUGCCUUAACUGGGCACCAAGCAUUAUCUGUUGGAAAGAGAGGAAUGAUAGUGGGGUGUAGUGAAUGAUUAGUUUUGGUAGAUGGGAUCGUGAGAAUGUAGUAAUCGUCUACUUUUGUGAGUUGUGAGGUUUUAAGGCUGUGUGUGAUAUCUCCUUGACAAACAACGGUAACUUCCCUAGGUCUUAGGAACCCAUAAAAAGCUAAAUAGAUAGCAGAUUUGAUCACCAGGUUUGUGUUGGGAUCAAAUGGGGAUUCG